UACAGAGGGGGCAAGCGUUGUUCGGAAUUACUGGGCGUAAAGGGCGCGUAGGCGGCCUGCUAAGUCGAACGUGAAAUCCCCGAGCUCAACUCGGGAACUGCGUCCGAUACUGGCAGGCUUGAAUCCGGGAGAGGGAUGUGGAAUUCCAGGUGUAGCGGUGAAAUGCGUAGAUAUCUGGAGGAACACCGGUGGCGAAGGCGGCAUCCUGGACCGGUAUUGACGCUGAGGCGCGAAAGCCAGGGGAGCAAACGGG
Molecule: ribosomal RNA, 253 nt
Filed under: uncultured bacterium
Lineage: Bacteria
Description: partial 16S ribosomal RNA
Rfam family: Bacterial small subunit ribosomal RNA
Source: RNAcentral